UGCAGUCGAGCGGUAACAGGGGGUGCUUGCACCCCGCUGACGAGCGGCGGACGGGUGAGUAAUGCAUAGGAAUCUGCCCGAUAGUGGGGGAUAACCUGGGGAAACCCAGGCUAAUACCGCAUACGUCCUACGGGAGAAAGGGGGCUCCGGCUCCCGCUAUCGGAUGAGCCUAUGUCGGAUUAGCUGGUUGGUGAGGUAAAGGCUCACCAAGGCGACGAUCCGUAGCUGGUCUGAGAGGAUGAUCAGCCACAUCGGGACUGAGACACGGCCCGAACUCCUACGGGAGGCAGCAGUGGGGAAUAUUGGACAAUGGGGGCAACCCUGAUCCAGCCAUGCCGCGUGUGUGAAGAAGGCCCUCGGGUUGUAAAGCACUUUCAGUGAGGAAGAACGCCUGGUGGUUAAUACCCAUCAGGAAAGACAUCACUCACAGAAGAAGCACCGGCUAACUCCGUGCCAGCAGCCGCGGUAAUACGGAGGGUGCGAGCGUUAAUCGGAAUUACUGGGCGUAAAGCGCGCGUAGGUGGCUUGAUAAGCCGGUUGUGAAAGCCCCGGGCUCAACCUGGGAACGGCAUCCGGAACUGUCAAGCUAGAGUGCAGGAGAGGAAGGUAGAAUUCCCGGUGUAGCGGUGAAAUGCGUAGAGAUCGGGAGGAAUACCAGUGGCGAAGGCGGCCUUCUGGACUGACACUGACACUGAGGUGCGAAAGCGUGGGUAGCAAACAGGAUUAGAUACCCUGGUAGUCCACGCCGUAAACGAUGUCGACCAGCCGUUGGGUGCCUAGCGCACUUUGUGGCGAAGUUAACGCGAUAAGUCGACCGCCUGGGGAGUACGGCCGCAAGGUUAAAACUCAAAUGAAUUGACGGGGGCCCGCACAAGCGGUGGAGCAUGUGGUUUAAUUCGAUGCAACGCGAAGAACCUUACCUACUCUUGACAUCCUGCGAAUUUGGUAGAGAUACCUUAGUGCCUUCGGGAACGCAGAGACAGGUGCUGCAUGGCUGUCGUCAGCUCGUGUUGUGAAAUGUUGGGUUAAGUCCCGUAACGAGC
This 1043-nucleotide ribosomal RNA is filed under the name Vreelandella hamiltonii. RNAcentral's name for it is "bacterial SSU rRNA". It matches the Rfam family "Bacterial small subunit ribosomal RNA", at positions 56 to 1097 of the family's 1533-position model. Lineage: Bacteria; Pseudomonadati; Pseudomonadota; Gammaproteobacteria; Oceanospirillales; Halomonadaceae. The record is from RNAcentral.